GCUUAACUAAUUAUUAAUUUGUCAUCUCAAAAGUUUCAACAUUGAUCACUAUAUUAUUGAUGAUUUGUAGUUUAAAUACAUAGUAAUGAAAACAAUACCAAAAUAAACUGAUAACAUAAAUAAUAAACCACAAUAAAAGAAUAUUCUAAUAUGCGAUCAGAUUCAGUUUAGCGAUCUCCAGUUGUGACUCAUGAUAAAAGGCUUCUUGAUUUUUAGCAUCGGUUGAUUCUUGCACACGAAGCGAAAGGUACGACUGCUAACUUGUAUUCUUUAAAGUGACCACCUUGUAACUGGCUUCUUCUUCCAUGAUUUUAUUACCAAUGGCUCAGAUCUGCUUCACCUCUGCUGUCUUUAAGCUUAAGAUCUACUCUCUAUUGAACUCUCCUUAAUGUCCCAGAUACGCAUACCACCACAGCGCCAGAAACGACUGUUGGUGACAACACCGUCAACACAAAUCUCUCACGCUUUUCCAUUUUUACGCUCUCGCUCUUCCUAAGGUGCCUCUGCGGCUUUUCUUUUGGAGGAAAUAUAUACACUUUUUAUUUAGGGUUUCUAGGCUAAUGGGCUCUAAGCCUCUACUUAUUAGUCUAAGGGUUCCGGCUUAAAAUAGAGAUACGGUGGAUUCAGAUUAAAGUAUUUUUACUUAUAUUACGAU
RNAcentral lists this long non-coding RNA (655 nucleotides) under Brassica napus (rape). Its description in RNAcentral is "long non-coding RNA (BNAP_LNC004143)". The record is from RNAcentral. Lineage: Eukaryota; Viridiplantae; Streptophyta; Magnoliopsida; Brassicales; Brassicaceae.